CAGGGAAUCUUGCACAAUGGGCGAAAGCCUGAUGCAGCGACGCCGCGUGGGGGAUGAAGGCCCUAGGGUCGUAAACCCCUUUCAGCAGGGACGAAGAUGACGGUACCUGCAGAAGAAGCCCCGGCCAACUACGUGCCAGCAGCCGCGGUAAGACGUAGGGGGCGAGCGUUGUCCGGAUUUAUUGGGCGUAAAGAGCUCGUAGGCGGCAUGACAAGUCACUUGUGAAAUCUCUGGGCUUAACCCAGAACGGCCAAGUGAUACUGUCGUGCUAGAGUGCAGAAGGGGCAAUCGGAAUUCUUGGUGUAGCGGUGAAAUGCGUAGAUAUCAAGAGGAACACCUGAGGUGAAGACGGGUUGCUGGGCUGACACUGACGCUGAGGCGCGAAAGCCAGGGGAGCAAACGGGAUUAGAUACCCCAGUAGUCCCUGAGCGGGCUGGCAAGGCGCAU
Molecule: ribosomal RNA, 447 nt
Filed under: uncultured bacterium
Lineage: Bacteria
Description: bacterial SSU rRNA
Rfam family: Bacterial small subunit ribosomal RNA
Source: RNAcentral